RNAcentral lists this ribosomal RNA (495 nucleotides) under uncultured bacterium. RNAcentral describes it as "partial 16S ribosomal RNA". It matches the Rfam family "Bacterial small subunit ribosomal RNA", at positions 28 to 507 of the family's 1533-position model. The record is from RNAcentral.
GACGAACGCUGGCGGCGUGCCUAAUACAUGCAAGUAGAACGCUGAAGGAGGAGCUUGCUCUUCUGGAUGAGUUGCGAACGGGUGAGUAACGCGUAGGUAACCUGCCUGGUAGCGGGGGAUAACUAUUGGAAACGAUAGCUAAUACCGCAUAACAGUAGAUGUUGCAUGACAUUUACUUAAAAGGUGCAAUUGCAUCACUACCAGAUGGACCUGCGUUGUAUUAGCUAGUUGGUGGGGUAACGGCUCACCAAGGCGACGAUACAUAGCCGACCUGAGAGGGUGAUCGGCCACACUGGGACUGAGACACGGCCCAGACUCCUACGGGAGGCAGCAGUAGGGAAUCUUCGGCAAUGGACGGAAGUCUGACCGAGCAACGCCGCGUGAGUGAAGAAGGUUUUCGGAUCGUAAAGCUCUGUUGUAAGAGAAGAACGAGUGUGAGAGUGGAAAGUUCACACUGUGACGGUAUCUUACCUGAAAGGGACGGCUAACUACGUG